CGCCUCUCUCUUCAGCUAGAGACCAUGGAGCUAUUAAGCGACCUUUGACCUCGACCAACAAUCAAGGGUUCCCGCGUUCCAGCUGCAUCAUUGCCAUUCCUUUCGUCGUGAAGUCACGCACUGCAGCGCCGUACCAACACAGACUAGUGUCUCACACCUUGAUGAGCUGAAACAUUAUUGUUAUACACAGAAUAAGACAUCUACAGAGGGAAAGGUACCUGCCUAAGCUUGACAUCAAUUUUCCUGUGUGUUUAUGUAAUAAAGCACUGAGGUAUCUGAGCGUUGAUGUACUAAGCGCCCGCAUCAAACUCUGACACGGGAUGAACGCAGCGUGUUCAUAGACAGACACACAAUACUGCAUGCAUCAUGCAGUUUCAAUUUGCUAUCGCACCCCGAUAGCAACUCAUCUGACGUGUGGACUGUAGAAAUAUUGGCGUCGCACUUUCUGUAGCGGGUCACCAAACAUUAUACCUGCAAUCUCCGGAGAGCUCGACCGUUUAGAAAGUACAGCUUGUUUACUGCAUACUUUGGUGGUGUGUGUGCAUUUCAAGGAACGCAUUACGUCUUUUGAUACGGAAGUAUGAUGAGAUGCCAGGUUGCGAUAUCAUCGAAAAACCGUAUGUAUUUUAAUUACUUUUACAGCUUUACAAUUUCACCGAUGGUAAUCGUUUAAAACUGUGAUCACAGCCCGGCGAUAGUGUAUGCAAGAUUCUCGGCUACUGGUGCUAGAUAAAUCAAUACAAACACAGGCUGAUUUUGAAUUCACUUGAACAAGGUCCUGUGAACAACGAGGUUUGAUGAAUAAAGAUGGAGGCACAGCAAAUGAACAGAAAUGACAGUAAUGGGUGGGUCAACGGACCGAUAUCCUGCGAGAGUUGGCAGCAGGCUCAACACGCCGUGUACCAACUCGGCUGCUUCAUCAUCGCCAACGGGUUCCUGGUUCCCCCCACGGUGGGGAUCGCCCAAGCCCUCUGGCUCCGUAUCUGUCUGGUCCUGGGGCUCUUCUGCCACGUGUUGUGGGCGGGUCCCGCCCUCUGCUGGCCGGAUGGGUUAGCCUGGCAGCUGGCCGCUUUCUUCGCCAACGUCGCCCAUCUCGUCUACCUGUCCUACCUGUCCUACCCGGUGAGCUUCGAUGAUGACGUCCAGAAGGUCUACCAGGCCCUCUUCAAGCCCUUCAACGUCUCACGGCAGCAGUUCCGUGUCAUGCUGGACAGUGGGGGCGACAUCUACGAGCUGGAUCGCACGGGUCACUACGCUUCGGAGGGCCGGACCAGAACGGACAGGGUGUUGUCCUUGCUCAUCUCGGGAAGGAUGCGAGUUGCCGCCAAUGGCAGGUUUCUACACCACAUUUACCCGACGCAGUUUCUUGACUCGCUUGAGUGGCAAGGAAGUCGGUCCAACUGCGGGCCAUCCACCUUUCAGGUAACAGUGACUGCCGACACUGACUGCCGUUACAUACAAUGGCAGAAGAAAGCUCUGGACAAGUUCCUUCGUAAGGAAGGCUUCAUUAGGGCGGUCUUUGAGACCACCGUGGGCAAAGACAUCACCACAAAACUCUACUCCAUCAACGAAGAGACGGUGGGCCCUUCCGCUCCAAAAAUCACCCAGAGGGUCAACAAGAGUGUCGCCCCUGCUCCGGCGCAGCGCGUCAGCGUGCCUGAGAUUGCCGAGAUCUGCCUGCCGGACGAACAGGAGGAAGACCGGGGGCUGCUCUCUCAUAAAUGGGAACGGGCGCUCUCGAUUGAUGAGGAGUCGGCUGCGGGCAUGGUUGUGGGUGGUGGGGGUGCAACCCAGCAGAAUUUAGGCGGGAUGAGCCAACUGGUCGUGCCUAGAUCUGGCAGCGUGUCCAGCCUGCAUUCGGUCCGCUCCAUGGUGGACAUCCGGGCCAGCAUUGCGUCCGGGAGGGGAGCCGACGUCGCCGGCCGGUCCAGCCUGACCCCCGGAGCGGCGGGGGACAGGUCGUCCAGGGUCAGCAGUAUGACGUCACACACUAGCGGUACACCAAGCAGUUUGAGAAGGGUUCAUUAGUGCAUGGUAUCAUCUGCGCAUGCGCAAAACAUCGUCCACUCACAUCUCGCCAUGAACCAAUGCUCGUGGAGACCGGAUCCAAGAGAAGUAGCUUCCAGUCCGACCACGGCCCCUUCCCUGAGCCGGACCGAGGGGAAACGCACUACGUCUCAUCCGUUUAAGAACA
This 2194-nucleotide unclassified non-coding RNA is filed under the name Patiria miniata (bat star). Its description in RNAcentral is "popeye domain-containing protein 3-like, transcript variant X3". Lineage: Eukaryota; Metazoa; Echinodermata; Asteroidea; Valvatida; Asterinidae. The record is from RNAcentral.